AUGUUGAAAAAGUCCGGAUUGGAGAUCAACCCCAACAACUUCAUUGACAUGCAGCGCAAGUGGAAAGUUCCAACCACAAACAAAUUCUACGACUCCUUGGUCGAUGUUGCAGCCAGUGUCAUCCACCUGUUCUACAAAGGCAUGAAGGAUAACAUCAACAAGGAGGAAGACUACAAACUGUGGGGGAUCAGCCCGCUGCCAGACAAGCUCAUCGAGUAUGCCAGAAAAGAUGCGUACGCCACGUACAAGUCGUGGAAGAUAAUCGCCAAAAUCGUGACAGGUUGGGAUAUUUCAAAAGAGCAGGAGGCUGACCCCUACUACCACUGCAACUUCGCAGGAUGA
This 342-nucleotide ribosomal RNA is filed under the name Triticum aestivum (bread wheat). Its description in RNAcentral is "partial small subunit ribosomal RNA". Lineage: Eukaryota; Viridiplantae; Streptophyta; Magnoliopsida; Poales; Poaceae. The record is from RNAcentral.